AUUGAACGCUGGCGGAAUGCUUUACACAUGCAAGUCGAACGGCAGCACGGUCUUCGGUCUGUUGGCGAGUGGCGAACGGGUGAGAAAUGUAACGGAACGUGCCCAGGCGUGGGGGAUAAGGUAGUGAAAUUUACGCUAAUACCGCAGAUGAUCUAUGGAGGAAUGAGGGGGAUCGCAAGACCUCGCGCGAUUGGUGCGGCCGAUGUGGGAUUAGGUAGUUGGUGGGGUAAAGGCCUACCAAGCCAACGAUGUGUAGCUGGUCUGAGAGGACGACCAGCCACACUGGAACUGAGACACGGUCCAGACUCCUACGGGAGGCAGCAGGGGGGAAUUUUGGGCAAUGGGCGAAAGCCUGAUCCAGCAAUUCCGCGUGCAGGAUGAAGGCCCUCGGGUUGUAAACUGCUUUUGUACAGAACGAAAAGGUUUCUACUAAUACUAGGAGCUCAUGACGGUACUGAAAGAAUAAGCACCGGCUAACUACGUGCCAGCAGCCGCCGUAA
RNAcentral lists this ribosomal RNA (500 nucleotides) under uncultured bacterium. Its description in RNAcentral is "partial 16S ribosomal RNA". It matches the Rfam family "Bacterial small subunit ribosomal RNA", at positions 30 to 523 of the family's 1533-position model. The record is from RNAcentral.